CCUACGGGCGGCAGCAGUGAGGAAUAUUGGUCAAUGGGCGAGAGCCUGAACCAGCCAAGUCGCGUGAGGGAGUACUGCCCUCUGGGUUGUAAACCUCUUUUGUCGGGGAGCAAAAGCCGGACGUGUCCGGCUGUGAGAGUACCCGAAGAAAAAGCAUCGGCUAACUCCGUGCCAGCCGACGCGGUUAUACGGAGGAUGCGAGCGUUAUCCGGAUUUAGUGGGUUAAAAGGGUGCGCAGGCGGAUUGUUAAGUCAGCGGUAAACUCGUGGGGCUCAACCCCAUCCAGCCGUUGAAACUGGUGAUCUAGAGUGGGCGAGAAGUAUGCGGAAUGCGUGGUGUAGCGGUGAAAUGCAUAGAGAUCACGCAGAACUCUGAUUGCGAAGGCAGCAUACCGGCGCCCAACUGACGCUGAAGCACGAAAGCGUGGGUAUCGAACAGGAUUAGAUACCCGAGUAGUC
This 458-nucleotide ribosomal RNA is filed under the name uncultured bacterium. RNAcentral describes it as "partial 16S ribosomal RNA". It matches the Rfam family "Bacterial small subunit ribosomal RNA", at positions 338 to 795 of the family's 1533-position model. The record is from RNAcentral.